Molecule: long non-coding RNA, 3762 nt
Filed under: Salvia miltiorrhiza (redroot sage)
Lineage: Eukaryota; Viridiplantae; Streptophyta; Magnoliopsida; Lamiales; Lamiaceae
Description: long non-coding RNA (SMIL_LNC006747)
Source: RNAcentral
CAUCCAUCAACCGCGCUGCAAAUGGCCUCAGAAACUUAUAUGAGAGCAUCGAUGAUUUGCUUCUCUUGCCUCACAUUCAGCAGAUCGUUUCUGAGGAGUGUGUUGAUAAUUACAUCAGCCUAUUGGAUGCUAGCAGCUCAGUUAAGGAUCUCAUCUCACUCGUGAAGGAAGAUCUACGAGAGCUUCUCUCUGCUGUAAGGAGAAAGGAUGCUCGAGGCAUAAACGGCUACCUUGCUUUAAGAAAGCAGUCGAAGAAAAAGAUCCAAAAGUGUUUGAAGAAGUUGAGACGUAGCAGCGCCUCAGCCUUUUCUGAGAAUGUUUCCAUGUUGAAAGAUGCAGAGUCAGUUGCCAUUUCCUUGCUCGAGUCUCUCUUGUCCUACACGUUGGGGAUGACAAUGCAAGAAAGCAUCAGACGACGAGAAUGAGUUCAACAAGGUGGAUUCAUUCCUGCAACUGAAUCAAGAAAACGAGCUCGUGAAUCACUUGAAAGAGAUGGACUCGAGCAUUCAAGUUGUUGAAGAAGAACUUGAAUCGGUAUUCAGGCAGAUGAUCAAGACCAGACUUUCCCUUCUCAACAUUCUCAACAACUAGAGAUUGAAAAUUUUGUAACUAGUACAUGAAUAUAUAUACUUGUAUAUAUCAAAUUGAUUCACAAGGAUCAUUACAAUACAAUCAGAAAAUUUUCUGCUACAUUCUUGUUCAAUAUCCUGAUAUUAGUAUAUGCUUAAUUUAUCUAUUCAUUCUUAUUGUUGACUUGAAUAUACAAGAUGACAUAUCAAUACAACAAGAUUUACAGCAUCAUACUAUGUUCAUAACUAACAAGAUUUAUAUCUUACAUGUCUACUAACAAAGUUCUAAUAUUAUCUUAUUCAGUUUGUAAUAAUAUUCUCUCCCUCAUUCUAUAUAAAAUCAACAGCUACAUGACUAUCAAAUCAACAGCUACAAGAUAACUGAGCUCUAAAAUACUAUCUAAACUGAUGUCUUCGACAUUUACAGAAAUCAUCUCAAGGUGAUAUCUAAACUGAUGUCUUCGACAUUCAGUUUGCUACAUUUUCUUUUUCAGUUAACAUAAUUAUUUUAGAUAUUUAAAUGCCUAAUUUAUUCUAAUAGGAGAUAUUCGAAGUUCCCAAAGAUGCAGACCAUUGGAUUUUGUUGUCUAUAGGCAAAAAGAGGAGACAUUGGAAAUCUAGAGUCAAAGGUGGGUCUUUUGUUCCUACAUUAGCGAUCGAGAAUCAGGCCCACAAUAGACCUAUUCGGGUACAUGAAGAUCAGUGGAAGAAUUUGUUAUCAUAUUGGGCAAAAGAAGAUGUACAGGUAUAUAAAUUUUGACGCAUUAGUUUAUUCACAUAUUAUUCAACUAACUUCUAGUUUUCAGGAAAUAAGUGAUAAAAAUAGAGAUCAUAGAAAGUGUUCUUCUAUGCAACAAACUACUGGAAAGAUAAGUUUUGCCGAAGUUGAGGAAGAGUUGGUAUGAUUUUAUUUCUUUAUUGUUGAGCUAUUUUACAUUACCAACAAAUGAACGUAUUAGCAUGUUAAUUUCUUUUUGCAGAAAGAAAAAUUGGGUCGAUCCCCAUCACGUGUCGAGAUGUUUGAAGCUUGUUACACUGAUCUCAGUGGUAACCCAUCAUCCGAUGAAGUUGGAGUUGCACUGGUAAGAUUAAAUUUUAAAGAUAGUCAUAAAAAGUCAAGUUUUAUAUGUUAAAACUUACAAGUUAAAUGUUUUUUAUAAACUGACAUGACAGGGAGAAAUGAAAGAAAUUCAAUCUAAAUUUUCAACUGAUUUCCAAGAUUCAGUUGGACCAAGUGACACAUUUUCUAGAGUUAUGGGCAAAGAACCCCGUGGUAGAGUACGAAUGAUUGGUUUAGGUGUUAACCCUUCUGACAUAUCAGGUGGUGUUCCUAGUCGUAGUGAGUGUUAUCGAAUGUUUUUGGAAAAUCAAGAAGCGCUGGUAAGAAUGGAAGAAAAAGUAAACGCAGCGACAACUCUGAUUGCAAGUUUAACAAAAAAAUGCAGCAGAAUACUAGUUUUUCUACAGGACAGCAACCUACAUCUCCGAGUCAGUCGUCCAACUCAGUAAAUAUAGGACACUCUUUUCAGGUAUAUUCUUUUUAUUUUGAGCCUGAUUAAUUUAGUCAUCAAUAAUCAGUUGUUAUAUUAUGGGAGAGAGUUGUGUGCCUGCUUUUAUCAUUAUUUGCUCUCCUACCUCUGUCUUUGCUUUUACUGAUUUUGUUUCCUCCUAAAACUGAGUUUCAGCCCAAUAUAUUGUAGUGUUGGUUGUUGUAAAAGUCAUGUAGCUAUUGAGAUAAAAUAAAUGUUCUAUUAGUGGCUAAUUUAGGACAUGCAUUUCAGGUUGGGGAUGAGGUGCUUUUGAAAAGCUUAUUCAAUUCUAGAAAAGCUGUGGCAAAAGGUCGUAUUCGUAGUGUUGAUCCAAAUCAAGAAGUUGGAGGAAAACGACUUGGACUACAAUGGUGUGAAGUUCAAGUUUCAGUUCCAAUAGAAUGGGAUGAAGAACUAAUUAGGCCGUAUUCGAAUUUGUCUACAAUUGGAGACGCAAUCGGAACAUGCGUUGCAUGGCCUCACCACUUGGUAAUCAUCUUUAUUUGUCUAUGUUGUUGAUUAUGUUGGUAUGCUUGUUCUAUUUUAAAAUAUAAUUGAUAGCAUUGCCAAGAAAAUGCACCUGUAUUUUUUGUUGCAGCAGAUAGCAGUUAACAUAUUUCAACACCACAAAAUUGACAUUUAAUAUUCCAGUUAACAUGUUGUUAUCUCUGUCUCCUUCAUCACAACCAUACAGUACUUCUCCCAAUUUGUCUACAAUUCUAAUGAUUUUUUCUCUUACAAAUUUAGGUGAAAGCCGAUGAUUUGGAUUGAUGAGAUGCUGAAAUAGCUUUAAAAGUGAAGCCUAGCUAGAGGUCUCAUUCUAAAAGAAAGUGAACUGAUGAGCAGAAACUCAUUCUAAAACAAUUGAUAUCAAUAUAGACAAUAUGUAAUAAGCUUUUUACUCAUGAUUGAGUAGCUAUUCCUUCAACAGAAUAUUCAUUAGUGAUGUUUGAAAUUUUAGAUUUGAAAUAAAGCAUUUUAUAUUGGGAUUGAUCUCAUAUUUUAAAAGCAUUAGUUAUAACAUUAUUUCCAUAUUAUAAUUGUAUUUUAAAAGCCUACUAGCAUCCUAAAAUAAGGGACUGCAAUCAUCCCAGAAUAGGACAGAAAAAAAAGUCCUAUUAUGUAUUUUGUGGUAAACCUUUAAUAGGACUCUCCUGAGUGUCCUAAACUAAGUGUCCCAGAAUAGGACAUGCGCAUGCGUCCUAUUACACAUAUUGUGACUAGCGCAGAUAGGACUCAUUUCGGGAGAGUCCUAUACGAGGGAAAGUCCUAUUAUAUUGCAUAAUAGGACACUUAUGAGAGUCCUAUAAAGAGAUUUUUGUUGUAGUGCCUGAAAUAACAUGCAUCAAUCAAGUAUAGUCGGGUGAUUUCUUCUUCACAUCACAAGCACAUUUCCAAAAGUGGAAACAUAUAAGAAUAACCCAUUUGUUAAAGUUUGCUACACUACAUACCAACUUUCUGAAAUUGAUACACUAGCUACCCUUUUUAAUUUUUUGUCAUUUAUUAAUUGUAAAUCAAAUUAUUUCAAGUACAAUAUGGAUAUCAGCUGUAAAUAUACAAGUCCUAUGAGAAAACAAAGAAUAGCGAAGUUGCAAAAAGCAAGCAGUAACAUAUAAGAUGAAGGCAUGAGUUCUUACUUCAGUGGCAGCUAGUUUCUUUACAUC